This 497-nucleotide ribosomal RNA is filed under the name uncultured bacterium. RNAcentral describes it as "partial 16S ribosomal RNA". It matches the Rfam family "Bacterial small subunit ribosomal RNA", at positions 28 to 507 of the family's 1533-position model. The record is from RNAcentral.
GACGAACGCUGGCGGCGUGCCUAAUACAUGCAAGUUGAGCGCUGAAGGUUGGUACUUGUACCGACUGGAUGAGCAGCGAACGGGUGAGUAACGCGUGGGGAAUCUGCCUUUGAGCGGGGGACAACAUUUGGAAACGAAUGCUAAUACCGCAUAAAAACUUUAAACACAAGUUUUAAGUUUGAAAGAUGCAAUUGCAUCACUCAAAGAUGAUCCCGCGUUGUAUUAGCUAGUUGGUGAGGUAAAGGCUCACCAAGGCGAUGAUACAUAGCCGACCUGAGAGGGUGAUCGGCCACAUUGGGACUGAGACACGGCCCAAACUCCUACGGGAGGCAGCAGUAGGGAAUCUUCGGCAAUGGACGAAAGUCUGACCGAGCAACGCCGCGGGAGUGAAGAAGGUUGUCGGAUCGUAAAACUCUGUUGGUAGAGAAGAACGUUGGUGAGAGUGGAAAGCUCAUCAAGUGACGGUAACUACCCAGAAAGGGACGGCUAACUACGUG